Nicotiana tabacum (common tobacco) is the source of this 225-nucleotide non-coding RNA. NCBI's taxonomy places the organism in Eukaryota, Viridiplantae, Streptophyta, Magnoliopsida, Solanales, Solanaceae. The record is from RefSeq and is a predicted model, not a curated record.
CCUCCACAAUAGGUAUUGCUCGAGUUCAGCUUGAUCGGAAGCUGCACAUUGUCAAGUUCGGAAUAACGUGUUAGAAAUUGCCAAAACCACCUAUCUAUAUGUAGGUUGUGAUUGAUCAAGGGAAUCAUCUCAGGUCAGACAGACAGACGGGUAGGCCUCCACAAUAGGUAUUGCCCGAGUUUAGCUUGAUUGGUAAGCUCCAAGCCUUUUGGAGUUUUCGGGUCU